Molecule: ribosomal RNA, 523 nt
Filed under: uncultured bacterium
Lineage: Bacteria
Description: bacterial SSU rRNA
Rfam family: Bacterial small subunit ribosomal RNA
Source: RNAcentral
AGUAAAUAGAUACCCGGGUAGUCCACGCCGUAAACGAUGUCGACUUGGAGGUUGUGCCCUUGAGGCGUGGCUUCCGGAGCUAAACGCGUUAAAGUCGACCGCCUGGGGAGUACGGCCGCAAGGUUAAACUCAAAUGAAUUGACGGGGGCCCGCACAAGCGGUGGAGCAUGUGGUUUAAUUCGAUGCAACGCGAAGAACCUUACCUACUCUUGACAUCCAGAGAACUUAGCAGAGAUGCUUUGGUGCCUUCGGGAACUCUGAGACAGGUGCUGCAUGGCUGUCGUCAGCUCGUGUUGCGAAAUGUUGGGUUAAGUCCCGCAACGAGCGCAACCCUUAUCCUUUGUUGCCAGCGGUUAGGCCGGGAACUCAAAGGAGACUGCCAGUGAUAAACUGGAGGAAGGUGGGGAUGACGUCAAGUCAUCAUGGCCCUUACGAGUAGGCUACACACGUGCUACAAUGGCGCAUACAAAGAGAAGCGACCUCGCGAGAGCAAGCGGACCUCAUAAAGUGCGUCGUAGUCCGG